GCCAGCAGCCAUAUCACCCUGUAGCCCAAGACUGGUUGCCCAUUGAAGCUAAGCAGGGUUGAGCUGGCCAGUACCUGGAUGGGGGACUUCCUGGGAAAACUAGGUUGCUGCUGGAA
This 116-nucleotide ribosomal RNA is filed under the name Sinocyclocheilus grahami. The record is from RNAcentral. Lineage: Eukaryota; Metazoa; Chordata; Actinopteri; Cypriniformes; Cyprinidae.